RNAcentral lists this transfer RNA (155 nucleotides) under Opitutaceae bacterium. Its description in RNAcentral is "tRNA-Pro". The record is from RNAcentral. Lineage: Bacteria; Pseudomonadati; Verrucomicrobiota; Opitutia; Opitutales; Opitutaceae.
CGGGGUGUAGCUUAGUCUGGUAGAGCGCUACGUUCGGGACGUAGAGGUCGGAGGUUCGACGAUGCGAACGAAGAGAGCGGAGAAGGGGCGAUCUGCCGUGCAGAUCGAGUCCAAAGGACUGGAGCGAAGCUCCACCAAUCCUCUCACCCCGACCA